GACGGACGCUGGCGGCGUGCCUAAUACAUGCAAGUUGAGCGCUGAAGGUUGGUACUUGUACCAACUGGAUGAGCAGCGAACGGGUGAGUAACGCGUGGGGAAUCUGCCUUUGAGCGGGGGACAACAUUUGGAAACGAAUGCUAAUACCGCAUAAAAACUUUAAACACAAGUUUUAAGUUUGAAAGAUGCAAUUGCAUCACUCAAAGAUGAUCCCGCGUUGUAUUAGCUAGUUGGUGAGGUAAAGGCUCACCAAGGCGAUGAUACAUAGCCGACCUGAGAGGGUGAUCGGCCACAUUGGGACUGAGACACGGCCCAAACUCCUACGGGAGGCAGCAGUAGGGAAUCUUCGGCAAUGGACGAAAGUCUGAUCGAGCAACGCCGCGUGAGUGAAGAAGGUUUUCGGAUCGUAAAACUCUGUUGGUAGAGAAGAACGUUGGUGAGAGUGGAAAGCUCAUCAAGUGACGGUAACGACCCAGAAAGGGACGGCUAACUACGU
This 496-nucleotide ribosomal RNA is filed under the name uncultured bacterium. RNAcentral's name for it is "partial 16S ribosomal RNA". It matches the Rfam family "Bacterial small subunit ribosomal RNA", at positions 28 to 506 of the family's 1533-position model. The record is from RNAcentral.